GAUGAACGCUGGCGGCGUGCCUAAUACAUGCAAGUCGAGCGAACGGACGAGAAGCUUGCUUCUCUCAUGUUAGCGGCGGACGGGUGAGUAACACGUGGAUAACCUACCUAUAAGACUGGGAUAACUUCGGGAAACCGGAGCUAAUACCGGAUAAUAUUUUGAACCGCAUGGUUCAAAAGUAAAAGACGGUCUUGCUGUCACUUAUAGAUGGAUCCGCGCUGCAUUAGCUAGUUGGUAAGGUAACGGCUUACCAAGGCAACGAUGCAUAGCCGACCUGAGAGGGUGAUCGGCCACACUGGAACUGAGACACGGUCCAGACUCCUACGGGAGGCAGCAGUAGGGAAUCUUCCGCAAUGGGCGAAAGCCUGACGGAGCAACGCCGCGUGAGUGAUGAAGGUCUUCGGAUCGUAAAACUCUGUUAUUAGGGAAGAACAUAUGUGUAAGUAACUGUGCACAUCUUGACGGUACCUAAUCAGAAAGCCACGGCUAACUACGUU
RNAcentral lists this ribosomal RNA (497 nucleotides) under uncultured bacterium. RNAcentral describes it as "partial 16S ribosomal RNA". It matches the Rfam family "Bacterial small subunit ribosomal RNA", at positions 28 to 507 of the family's 1533-position model. The record is from RNAcentral.